AUGCAAGUCGAGCGGUAGAGAGAAGCUUGCUUCUCUUGAGAGCGGCGGACGGGUGAGUAAUGCCUAGGAAUCUGCCUGGUAGUGGGGGAUAACGUUCGGAAACGGACGCUAAUACCGCAUACGUCCUACGGGAGAAAGCAGGGGACCUUCGGGCCUUGCGCUAUCAGAUGAGCCUAGGUCGGAUUAGCUAGUUGGUGAGGUAAUGGCUCACCAAGGCGACGAUCCGUAACUGGUCUGAGAGGAUGAUCAGUCACACUGGAACUGAGACACGGUCCAGACUCCUACGGGAGGCAGCAGUGGGGAAUAUUGGACAAUGGGCGAAAGCCUGAUCCAGCCAUGCCGCGUGUGUGAAGAAGGUCUUCGGAUUGUAAAGCACUUUAAGUUGGGAGGAAGGGUUGUAGAUUAAUACUCUGCAAUUUUGACGUUACCGACAGAAUAAGCACCGGCUAACUCUGUGCCAGCAGCCGCGGUAAUACAGAGGGUGCAAGCGUUAAUCGGAAUUACUGGGCGUAAAGCGCGCGUAGGUGGUUUGUUAAGUUGGAUGUGAAAUCCCCGGGCUCAACCUGGGAACUGCAUUCAAAACUGACUGACUAGAGUAUGGUAGAGGGUGGUGGAAUUUCCUGUGUAGCGGUGAAAUGCGUAGAUAUAGGAAGGAACACCAGUGGCGAAGGCGACCACCUGGACUAAUACUGACACUGAGGUGCGAAAGCGUGGGGAGCAAACAGGAUUAGAUACCCUGGUAGUCCACGCCGUAAACGAUGUCAACUAUCCGUUGGAAGCCUUGAGCUUUUAGUGGCGCANCUAANGCAUUAAGUUGACCGCCUGGGGAGUACGGCCGCAANGUUAAAACUCANNAUGAAUUGACNGGGGCCCGCACAAGCNGNUGGAGCAUGU
RNAcentral lists this ribosomal RNA (894 nucleotides) under Pseudomonas sp. 8_SBR2. RNAcentral describes it as "bacterial SSU rRNA". It matches the Rfam family "Bacterial small subunit ribosomal RNA", at positions 55 to 942 of the family's 1533-position model. The record is from RNAcentral. Lineage: Bacteria; Pseudomonadati; Pseudomonadota; Gammaproteobacteria; Pseudomonadales; Pseudomonadaceae.